CCUUGUCUCAAAAUAUUAGAUGGGCCUUUUGCUAGUGACCCAGUGAGCUGUCAAGAAGGGGCAGAGUAAAAGUACUGCUUUUAGGUGAAGUAUCAACUUGUGUCGUUUUCCUUCAAUCAGUGUCGUGACAAGA
Nannospalax galili (Upper Galilee mountains blind mole rat) is the source of this 133-nucleotide small nucleolar RNA. The record is from Ensembl. NCBI's taxonomy places the organism in Eukaryota, Metazoa, Chordata, Mammalia, Rodentia, Spalacidae.